CAGCAGCCACGGUAAUACGGAGGGUGCAAGCGUUAAUCGGAAUUACUGGGCGUAAAGCGCACGCAGGCGGUCUGUCAAGUCAGAUGUGAAAUCCCCGGGCUUAACCUGGGAACUGCAUUUGAAACUGGCAGGCUAGAGUCUUGUAGAGGGGGGUAGAAUUCCAGGUGUAGCGGUGAAAUGCGUAGAGAUCUGGAGGAAUACCGGUGGCGAAGGCGGCCCCCUGGACAAAGACUGACGCUCAGGUGCGAAAGCGUGGGGAGCAAACAGGAUUAGAUACCCGGGUAGUCCCUGUCUCUUAUAA
Molecule: ribosomal RNA, 301 nt
Filed under: uncultured bacterium
Lineage: Bacteria
Description: partial 16S ribosomal RNA
Rfam family: Bacterial small subunit ribosomal RNA
Source: RNAcentral